UGGGGAAUUUUGGACAAUGGGGGAAACCCUGAUCCAGCCAUCCCGCGUGUGCGAUGAAGGCCUUCGGGUUGUAAAGCACUUUUGGCAGGAAAGAAACGUCAUGGGUUAAUACCCCGUGAAACUGACGGUACCUGCAGAAUAAGCACCGUCUAACUACGUGCCAGCAGCCGCGGUAAUACGUAGGGUGCAAGCGUUAAUCGGAAUUACUGGGCGUAAAGCGUGCGCAGGCGGUUCGGAAAGAAAGAUGUGAAAUCCCAGAGCUCAACUUUGGAACUACAUUUUUAACUACCAGGCUAGAGUGUGUCAGAGGGAGGUGGAAUUCCUCGUGUAGCAGUGAAAUGCGUAGAUAUGCGGGGGAACACCGAUGGCGAAGGCAGCCUCCUGGGAUAACACUGACGCUCAUGCACGAAAGCGUGGGGAGCAAACAGG
This 429-nucleotide ribosomal RNA is filed under the name Acidobacteriota bacterium. RNAcentral's name for it is "Acidobacteria bacterium partial 16S ribosomal RNA". It matches the Rfam family "Bacterial small subunit ribosomal RNA", at positions 355 to 776 of the family's 1533-position model. Lineage: Bacteria; Pseudomonadati; Acidobacteriota. The record is from RNAcentral.